This 426-nucleotide ribosomal RNA is filed under the name uncultured bacterium. RNAcentral describes it as "partial 16S ribosomal RNA". It matches the Rfam family "Bacterial small subunit ribosomal RNA", at positions 354 to 796 of the family's 1533-position model. The record is from RNAcentral.
GUGAGGAAUUUUCCGCAAUGGGCGAAAGCCUGACGGAGCAAUGCCGCGUGAAGGAUGAAGGCCUAUGGGUUGUAAACUUCUUUUCUCAGAAAAGAAUUAUGACGGUAUCUGAGGAAUAAGCAUCGGCUAACUAUGUGCCAGCAGUCGCGGUAAGACAGAGGAUGCAAGCGUUAUCCGGAAUGAUUGGGCGUAAAGCGUCUGUAGGUUGUUUAAAAAGUAUUCUGUCAAAGAUUAGGGCUUAACCCUAGAUAGGCAGAAUAAACUUUUAAGCUAGAGUUUGGUAGAGGCAGAGGGAAUUCCCGGUGGAGCGGUGAAAUGCGUAGAUAUCGGGAGGAACACCAAAGGCGAAGGCACUCUGCUGGGCCAAUACUAACACUGAGAGACGAAAGCGAGGGGAGCAAAUGGGAUUAGAUACCCGAGUAGUCC